GAUGAACGCUAGCGGCAGGCUUAACACAUGCAAGUCGAGGGGCAGCGUGAGGGUUAGCAAUAACCCUUGACGGCGACCGGCGCAAGGGUGCGUAACGCGUGAGCAACUUGCCCUAUCAGGGGGAUAACCGGUGGAAACGCCGACUAAUUCCCCAUAGUAUUGAUUCCAGGCAUCUGUUAUCAAUUAAGAAUUUCGGAAACGGNUAGGCUCGCGUGACAUUAGCUAGAUGGCGGGGUAACGGCCCACCAUGGCGACGAUCAGUAGCCGGUCUGAGAGGAUGAACGGCCACAUUGGGACUGAGAUACGGCCCAGACGUCCUACGGGAGGCAGCAGUGGGGAAUAUUGGGCAAUGGACGCAAGUCUGACCCAGCAACGCCGCGUGAAGGAAGAAGGCUUUCGGGUUGUAAACUUCUUUUUACCAGGACGAGAACGUGACGGUACCUGGAGAAAAAGCAAACGGCUAACU
This 466-nucleotide ribosomal RNA is filed under the name uncultured bacterium. Its description in RNAcentral is "bacterial SSU rRNA". It matches the Rfam family "Bacterial small subunit ribosomal RNA", at positions 28 to 502 of the family's 1533-position model. The record is from RNAcentral.